CACACAUAGGAACCUCCUCAAAGGAUUCUAUGGACAGUCGAUGCAGGGAGGUAAGAGCUCCCUGCAUCGGCGAUUUU
RNAcentral lists this non-coding RNA (77 nucleotides) under Escherichia coli. The record is from RNAcentral. Lineage: Bacteria; Pseudomonadati; Pseudomonadota; Gammaproteobacteria; Enterobacterales; Enterobacteriaceae.